GCCCCGCGGGAGCUUCGUUCUGAGAAGAGGUCGAUGGCGCCGGAGUUUGCGGCCUCCGCGCAGCAAUGGGUCUGCCUGCCGCGGAGAUGGGUGUGUCACCGGCUUCGCUGGGCUCAGGCUCUUACGUCAUAAAACAAGAAGGUAGCUGAAUCCAGGCCAGAGAUCAAGAAGAUUUUAACUAACACUUGCUCAAGAUUCGUUCCCUAAAGUUGAGGAAACUGAGGCUUGAAGAAGUUGCACAAUUUGGCUGAAAAUCCAGUAAAUAAUAGAGUGAAGAUUGGAUCUGAGACCUUCUGAUUCCAAGAUGGAAGCUAUGAACUGGCUUUUGGAAAUGGGCAGUCAAUGUCGAACACAGUAGCAGCAUAACUGGCUUAUUCUGAUUGAUGGGCAUACCCUAUAAUGCAGAUGUGACCCACAGAGGAACUCAAGAGUCUGAAGGCUCAAAGAAAGACUCUACAGAUAUUGUUCUCCAGUCUUAAAACAAAGAUGAAAACACUCAUUGUCCAGCUCCAAGAACUCUACUAGCCAGUGGAGACAGAUGUAUACACAGGUAAAUACAAAUGCAUAAGAGACUGGUGAAGGAUUGUUCAUCUUACUUAAUAGAUGUUCAUGACUAGGUCAGGGAACAAAAUUUGCCUAAGGCAGCUCGUCUUCUAGUUUUAUCAUCAUUAAUUAAUUUUGGACCAUUUAACACAUGCAUAGAGCUGUGCUAUUUCUAGAAAUAUAUGAAAUGGGAAUAUGAUAGCCCAUCUCAGCUAAUCAGCCUCUUCUUCCUGGCUCUGGAGGUUUUAAAAACAGUGACUCAUAAAAUAUUUCCCAGGCAACCGUCUAUCCAGUCUUCCCACAAGUCUGAAUUUGUCAGCCUGUCUCGAUUUUAUCUAAGAAAUUAAAUCUCAAUUUUAGUAUUAUUAGCACUUUUACUGGCUUACCAUUUUUAAAAGAGAACAUGUAAAUUAUAAUGAAGAUAAAUAAGAAAUGAAAAGCCUUAAAUACAAUGGCAAUGAUUUUUAGUAAAUGACCAUUAACAAAGAUUUCCAGAAAUUAAUCGGCACAGAUGGGCAUGGCAAUCACUUAUGAAGGAAGUCUUCAUAGAAAUGCUUGGCUGUGAGGGUUCUAGGAAAUAUUGUCUGAUACACUGUACAACCUUUCCAAAGGAUAAUUUUUGAAUAUGAGUUAAGAAGCUUAAAGGGGUUUUCAUUUUUGAAGUAAUUAUUCCAUUUCUUGAAAUCUACAUUAAAGAAAUCAGAGGUUUACAUAUCAUUGCAAUGAUAUGUGUUAUGGCAAAUAUUCUAAACAGCCUCAAAAAUAGGGAAAAAUUUAAAAGAAUUAUUGGUAGAACCAUACUAUAGGAUACUACACAAUCAUGCAAAAUUACGUUUUCAAAAACUUCAUGUGUAUAAUGACAUAAGUAUAUGCUCUCUGUAUAGCACAAGCUGGAAAAAAAUCAAGUUACAAGAGAUAUGUACGGUUGAUUCCAAUUUAGAUAUGUUACAUAAAAGAGAUUGGAAGAAAAUACACCAAAAUAGUUUUCUCUGGCUAGUGAGAUUACAGAUGGUCUUCCCAUUCUGGAUUUUCCAAAUUUUCUACAAUCAGUUCUGUGGGGAGGAGGGGCUAUUUUUUGUAAAUGUUUGCUUUGUGCAAUAAAAGGUCAAUCCUUAUGAUUGGAAAAGGAGUGAUGUUUAGAAGUAUGGAGCAUACUGAAGGUUUCCAUGGAAAGAAUAUAAAGGACAUGCUUCAUACUUUACCUAAACAUUGUUGCAUAUUCAUCUAUGUUCCCAUCCAGGCCUUACAACAUUCUCUAUAAAGAUCUAUCACUUCUUAGGGAAAACAAAAAAGAAGCAAAACACAUUGAGUGGUUACCAUAUGCCAGGUACCUUCACAUAUAUUGUCUUAUAUGAUCCUCACAGAAAUCUAUAACAUUGACUUCUAAUACAUUUAGGCAACUUACUCAAAGUGAUAGAAAUAUUACCUUAUUAGACCCAAGAUCUGAAAUCCAAUAACAAGUUCCUACUAUAUAGCAAAGGAAGCUAUAUUCAAUAUCCUGUGAUAAACCAUACUUGAAAAGAAUAUGAAAAACAAUGUGUGUGUGUGUAUAUAUAUGUGUGUGUGUGUGUGUAUGUGGGUAUAUAAUUGAAUCACUUUGCUAUGCAGCAGAAAUUAACACAAUUGUAAAUCAAGUAUACUCCAAUUAAAAAAAUAAAUUACAAAAAUGAAACCCAGUCCAGUGACUCCAGGCCAAGAGUUUAUCACAACUGCCUCCUUUAUGUACAUCUGCACAACUGAAAUAUACUUAUAGGCAAAAAAGUGUCCAUGUUAUUUCAAUUACUUGUCAACUUAGAGAAUUAAGACAUUUGUAUUUUGCACUAACUUAAGUAUAUGAUUAUUUAUAUAUCCUAUAUAUUGACUACUUGCCUGUUUUUUUAAGCUCUGCUGUCUGUUACCAUCAGUAUCAAAAACAAGUUUCAGGCUGUUUUACGCAGAACAGAUACAUGGUUCUUCUCAAACAAUAAGCUUUCCCUAACAUUUUUAAAGAAUUUGUUAAAGACAAAUAAACAAAAAAUGAAAAACCUUGAGUCAUAAAUUGUGUAUUUAAAUUUGUCUUUACCGAUUCACUUCUUUAAAUUACUUUCCAAAUGACUAGAGAUAUGUGUUUAUUUUUCCUGGCAAUCCCUUAAUACACACCAUCCUACCCCUGCCCCCACACUCCCUGCCACACUAAAGAAAUCAAUCUCACUUAUCUCCAUUAAUCCUAGACUAAAACCAACUUCAAAUUUUGGUUCAACAUUCACCAACUGAAGACAGUUUUCUAGGACUGGCCCAGUUCUGCUUUGAUCAUUUACUCUGUUGCUAUUAGUGAUGUAUUUUAUAUGUCCUAAAUUAUUUAGCACUUCUCCAUGUAUCAUUUUGUGUUUGUUCUCAUUCACUUUAUUUCUACAUAUUUGCAUUCUAAGUUUCAGGAGUCCUGACCCCUUCUUUUAUAUCAUCACAGAUGCUUUGUUAAAUGUCAUGAACAUUUCUAUAUUCAUUAUGUACAUAGUGGGUGUCCAAUAAAUACUUGUUAAUUAACUGUGCCCAGCUCACUCCUACCUAUUCACCCACAAACAUAGAUUCCCAAGAAAAUCAACGAAAUGAAAAAUGAACAGGUGAAGAAGAGGACACCAUAUUUGAAUUGGCAUACAAGCCUAUUCUCUCUUUUGCUUUACUAAUUUGUCUUGGGCUAGGGAAAAGAGGUUUGGUAUAUCUCCUAGCUUUUUAAGGAAUUUCAGGAUUGCUGGCCAAUUCCAGGCUCUUCCAUUGUGAUUGAAUCUCAGUGGAAAUAUUGUGAAAGUUCAAAUUACAUUAGUUUGGUCUUUUAUGUCGAAAACUUAGUUAAGUUCAAAAACAUCACUAUGUGUUAAUUUGCCCCUGCAGCUGUUGAAAGCUUAAUAUUAAAAAAAAAAAAACUGAUCUGAUCUAAGAGCUUUUAUAUAUGAGAAUUUCUACCAAAUGUAUGACCUUACUUAAAUCAUUUAACCACUCAACAACUUGCAGUUUCUUCAUCUACAGAAUAGGGAUAAUAAUACACUGAUCAUGUCACCUGGAUGGUUGUAAGGAUCCUAUGAGAUGAUGUAUAUGAAAGCACAUUAUAAACUCUGGUGAAAUAUACAAAUAUGAACUUACAUUUUUAAUGCUGAUCUCACCAUAUACUCUUUCGGUUAUGAUUUUUAAUAUCUCUAAUUAUUUGUGAGGCUAAAGGAUAUAGUUUCCAUUAAUGCGUGAAGAUACCUCCUUGUCUGCAUUGAGAUAGUUUCCAUUUCCAUGCUUCCUGCUAGCUUUAUUGACUGAUAAUCAACACACGUCACAUGCUCUUUAGAAACAGACCUAUUUUAGUCACUGGUAUUACAAUCUGAUCCUUUGUUCCUAUGGUACAGACUGUCCCCUCAAGUACAGUAUAAAAAAAAAAAAAAGGUAUAUUCAGUUAAAAUCUUUGCACAGUCUUAAGUGUACAGAUAAAGUCCAUUCUAACUGUGCAAAAUAAACUAUGUUUCUUAAACAAGAUUUCAUUCAUUUUUACCACACCCUAUCAGUUCCUCUAUCAAAACUUUGCUUUUUUAAUUGGUUCUGGAAAAAUUUCCAAAUAUGACUCUUCAAAAUGUUUAGUUAUAUGGCAUUAGAACUCCCUAUAAUAUCCUUCAGUAGUUAGAGGAAAUGGAGAGGAAAAGAAGGUAUGAAAAUCAUUACAGGUAAUAUGCCCUUCUCCUUUAAUCUCAUUGAAAUGACCCCGAAGGAGUUUCCAGGAGGAGUUCUUAACCUAGUAGAUUAAGGAUCUGACUGAAGCAGUUCGGGUCACUGUGUAGGUACGGGUUCAGAGAAGUAGGUUAAAGGAUCUGGUGUUGUCACAGCUGUGGCAUAGGUUGGAUUUGAUUCCUGGCCCAAGAAUGUCCAUACAUUACAGAUGUGGCCAUAAAAUUAAAUUUAAAAAAAAAGGACAAUUAAGUAUGUUCAAAAAAAAAAAAAUGACCCAGGAAAUAAAAAUAUAUAUUUGUGAGCAAACCUACAUCAGCAAUGGGCAAAGGGACAAGCACUUACUAGCAACAUUAGAAAACAAUCUACUAGAGGUGGGCAGACUAAUCUGAGCUGAAAAAGGAACUGCUGUAUCCAAAGGGGACAUAAGUAUAGGAGACCCCAGCAGAUUCUCAAUACUAUCCCUCACAUGGAGGGACUGGAGGCAAGACUCCUAAAGUCAGGGGCAUUCUAGAAAGCCACCACAGAGACUCUGAGAAAAGCACCAGUCCCAGAGAGUAUACAGAGGGGUUUGCUCUUGACAUAUUUUUUUAACUCAAAUAUAAACACACUAUACCCAUUACUCUGCUUUGGAUAUGUUUCCAUAUCAGAAUAUAUAGAUCUACCGCUUUAUUUAUUUAUUUUUUUUAAGGGCCACACCUGUGGCAUAUGGAGUCAAAUCAGAGCUACAGCUGUCAGUCUAUGCCGUAGCCACCACAAUGCCAGAUCUAGCUGCAUCUGCAACCUACACCAUAGCUUGGGGCAAUGCAGGAUCUUUAACCCACAGAGUGACACCAGGAUCGAACCCGCAUUCUGGAUACUAGUGGGGUUCUUCACCCGCUGAGCCAUGAUGCGAACUCUUACUGCAUUAUUUCUAAUGUUUCGGUCACAUUGCUGUAUAGCUGUAUCACAUCUGUGUAUAUUGCUGAAAGAAUAGUUAACUAAAUUCCAAAAAGUAAAUUGCUAAUCUACAGGUGUGAAAAUUUCAUUUCGAUUAAUACUAUCAAAUUGCCCCCCUUAAAAUAUCAAAGCCACCUAUCCCACCACCAAAGUAUAAAAGGAUUAGUAUGUACAAAUUCUUACCAAUUACCAUACUUUAAUUUUUUAGCUGUAAUGUUAUCUAUUUUUUGCAAUCUUUUAACUUUUUUUACCACUCUAGAGGGUAAAGGUGACAUUUCAUGUUCUUUUCAUUGUUUCUUGGGUGACUCAUGAGGUUUAGCGUUAUUUUCACACAUUUGUAAACCACUGUAUUUCUUCCUCUGUGAAAUUUUUACUCUUUCCCUUUUCUUCAUUUGGGUUGUUUUUCACUUGGGUCAGUUCUUCACUUGGGUUGUUUUUGUUUGUUUGUUUGUUCUUUUUGUCUUUGGCUUUAUAAGCAGGAGAAUAGAUAAGAGAACAGAAGCUGGAGCCAGCCCAGCUGGACUCAAACCCCAGCUCUACCACUUAGUACUCCUUUCCUCACCUAGAAAAGUAUGAUAAUGCCGGAAACUACCAUAUAGUGUUGUUUCAGGACUUUUGAAUGACUUAAAAUUAAAAAGUACUUAGAACAGUGCCAGGCACAGAGAGAUAUUCUUUUCCAUUACGGUUUAUCACAAGAUAUUGAAUUUAGUUCCCUGUGGUAUAUAGUAGGACCUAGUUUUUUUACACAUUCUAUAUGUAAUAGUUUGCUAAUCCCAAACUCCCAAUUCAUCCCCACCCUCUCCUUGACAAUCACAAGUCUAUUCUCUACAUUUGUGAGUCUAUUAGAAAAAGAUUCUAAUAUCAUACUCAGAAAGGUAAUUCUCACUCUAAGAUUUUAAAAGUCUUCUUCCACAUGUCCUUGCAAUGAUUUUAUUUUAUUUUAUUUUAUUUUGACCUUGGGCUCUUUAAUCUAUUUGAGAUUUAUUUUUAGAAACUGGAUAAAAUAACACAAACUUUACUCUUUUCUUCAUGGAUAGCCAGUUGUCCUGCUCUUUCUUUUACUCAUUAAUUUGAAAUACUCAAAAACUGACAUCACAACUGGGAUUGCUUUGUUUCCCUAUCACCUUGGAGAGGAUUGGUAAUUUUACAACAUGAGUUGUCCUACAUUAGGACAUGGUAAUUACUCUAUUUUUUCUGGUCUUGCCUUGUAUCCUCAGUUAAGGUUUUGUGGUUUUUCUUUGUAAAAAUCUUACCCAUCUCUUGCUCAUUAUAUUCUUAAGCAUGUCUUUAAUUUACCAAUUGCAUUUACUAUGUACUGAAUUACAGUAAUGUAUUUCCCAGUGUUGAAUCAUCCUCAUUGACUGUAGGAGUCUAUUCAAUGAUUUCUUAUGAAAUAUGUCAAACAUACAGAAAAAAAGCAUUACAUAUAUUUAAUUUAUAUUAUAUUUAUGUCAUAUUUAAUAGAAGACUAACAUAGUAUAAAUUAAAUACCUGUGUAUUAUUUGCCAUUGAUCUUUGUCAAAUCUAAACAUUUUGUGAUAUUUAUAUAAUUGGAGGGGGGAUGGAAAUUCAUCAAUACAGCCAGAGUCCCUAACAUACCUCUCCCAGAUUCCAUUCCCAGAUUCCAUUCCCCUUGCUCCCUACUCAGUUAUAACCAUUAUCCUGAAUUAAAGGUUUAUCAUUACCAUGGAUGUGUUUUUAAUAUUAGUACAUAUAAAUAACUCAUAAUUUAUACCAUGUAGUAUUUUUCAACCUGUACGUGAAUUGCAUGAUACUGUAUUUUCAUUCUGCAGCUUGGUUUUGUUUUUGUUUUUUGACUCAAAAAAAAAAUUUUUUUUUUUCUUGUCUUUUAUUAGAGCCACACCAGCGGCAUGUGGAGGUUCCCAGCUUAGGGGUCUAAUCGAAGCUGUAGCCGCUGGCCUACACCACAGCCAUAGCAAUUUUACCAGGUCCAAACCACGUCUGUGACCUACACCACAGCUCAUGGCAAGGCCGGAUCCUUAACCCACUGAGUGAUGCCAGGGAUCGAACUCGCAAACUCAUGGUUCCUAAUUGGAUUCGUUUCUGCUGCGCCACGACGGGAAUUCCGAAAAAUUUUUUUAAUUAUUGAUGCCUGUAGUUCUAGCUUAUUCGACAGAGGUGUGGUACUCCAGUUUAUGAAUAUAUUUCCAUUUGUUCAUUCUUCCGCUGACCGACAUACAGGGUGUUUCCAAUGCUUUCCUAAUGUAUGUGGCGCUAUGAUGAAUACUCAUGUGCAUGUAGAUUUUCCCCAGAGCUGUACUACCCAAUACUUUAGCCACUUCUCUAAAUAGCUUGUUCGUAUCUUUGCCCACUUUUCUGUCAGACUUGUUUCUCCUUUUCUUUUAUAUUUGUAGUAGCAAUUUAUACAUUUAGAAUAUUUGUAUAUUAUAUUAGUUACAUGUGGUAUAAAUAUUUUCUCCCAUUCUGAACUUUUCUUUCAACUUUGAUUAUGGUGUCUUUUGUUAAGCAGGGGUUUUUUGUUUCAUCAAUCUUUGCCUUUUUGAUGUAUGCUUUUGGCUGUCUUAUUCAACAAAUCCUUCCCUAUCCCAAGAUCAAAAACAUAUCUCUUACAUUUUCUCCUAAAAUGCCUAAAAUGUUAAAGGCUUUUUAUGUUUAGGUUUUAAUCCCCCUGGAAUGAACACUUAAGUGUAUGGUAUGAGAAUUUUAUUUUCUGUGUGGAUAGCCAUCUGUUCCAUGAUAAUAUUUUGAAUAGUUUGUCCUGUUUCCAAUUAUUUGUAAUAUAUCAUAUACCAUAUCUUUCUCUAUAUAUGGUUCUUUUCUAGGCUUUCUAUUCUGUUACAUAUAUGUGUAGUUGACCCUCUAUAUCCAUGAGUUCCACAUCCAGGGAGUAAACCAACUGGAUCAGGAGUUCCCAUCAUGGAGCAGUGGAAACGAAUCCAACUAGGAACCACAAAACUGUGGGUUUGAUCCCUGGCCUCGCUCAGUGGGUUAAGGAUCUGGCAUUGCCGUGAGCUGUGCUGUAGGUUGCAGACACAGCUCAGAUCUGAUGUUGCUAUGGCUGUGGUAUAGGCUGACAGCUGUAGCUCUGAUUUGACCCCUAGCCUGAGAACUUCCAUAUGCCGGGAGUG
RNAcentral lists this long non-coding RNA (8273 nucleotides) under Sus scrofa (pig). Its description in RNAcentral is "lncRNA (ENSSSCG00065057965.1)". Lineage: Eukaryota; Metazoa; Chordata; Mammalia; Artiodactyla; Suidae. The record is from RNAcentral.